UACGUAUGGUGCAAGCGUUAUCCGGAUUUACUGGGUGUAAAGGGAGCGCAGGCGGUUCUGCAAGUCUGAUGUGAAAGCCCGGGGCUCAACCGCGGGACUGCAUUGGAGACUGCGGGACUGGAGUGUCGGAGGGGUAAGCGGAAUUCCUGGUGUAGCGGUGAAAUGCGUAGAUAUCAGGAGGAACACCGGUGGCGAAGGCGGCUUACUGGACGAUGACUGACGCUGAGGCUCGAAAGCGUGGGGAGCAAACAGG
RNAcentral lists this ribosomal RNA (253 nucleotides) under uncultured bacterium. RNAcentral's name for it is "partial 16S ribosomal RNA". It matches the Rfam family "Bacterial small subunit ribosomal RNA", at positions 524 to 776 of the family's 1533-position model. The record is from RNAcentral.